ACACAUGCAAGUCGAGCGGUAACAGAAAGUAGCUUGCUACUUUGCUGACGAGCGGCGGACGGGUGAGUAAUGCUUGGGAACAUGCCUUGAGGUGGGGGACAACAGUUGGAAACGACUGCUAAUACCGCAUAAUGUCUACGGACCAAAGGGGGCUUCGGCUCUCGCCUUUAGAUUGGCCCAAGUGGGAUUAGCUAGUUGGUGAGGUAAUGGCUCACCAAGGCAACGAUCCCUAGCUGGUUUGAGAGGAUGAUCAGCCACACUGGAACUGAGACACGGUCCAGACUCCUACGGGAGGCAGCAGUGGGGAAUAUUGCACAAUGGGCGAAAGCCUGAUGCAGCCAUGCCGCGUGUGUGAAGAAGGCCUUCGGGUUGCAAAGCACUUUCAGUCAGGAGGAAAGGGUGUGAGUUAAUACCUCACAUCUGUGACGUUACUGACAGAAGAAGCACCGGCUAACUCCGUGCCAGCAGCCGCGGUAAUACGGAGGGUGCGAGCGUUAAUCGGAAUUACUGGGCGUAAAGCGUACGCAGGCGGUUUGUUAAGCGAGAUGUGAAAGCCCCGGGCUCAACCUGGGAACUGCAUUUCGAACUGGCAAACUAGAGUGUGAUAGAGGGUGGUAGAAUUUCAGGUGUAGCGGUGAAAUGCGUAGAGAUCUGAAGGAAUACCGAUGGCGAAGGCAGCCACCUGGGUCAACACUGACGCUCAUGUACGAAAGCGUGGGGAGCAAACGGGAUUAGAUACCCCGGUAGUCCACGCCGUAAACGAUGUCUACUAGAAGCUCGGAACCUCGGUUCUGUUUUUCAAAGCUAACGCAUUAAGUAGACCGCCUGGGGAGUACGGCCGCAAGGUUAAAACUCAAAUGAAUUGACGGGGGCCCGCACAAGCGGUGAGCAUGUGUUUAUUCGAUGCAACGCGAAGAACCUUACCUACACUUGACAUACAGAGAACUUUCUAGAGAUAGAUUGUGCCUUCGGGAACUCUGAUACAGGUGCUGCAUGGCUGUCGUCAGCUCGUGUUGUGAGAUGUUGGGUUAAGUCCCGCAACGAGCGCAACCCCUAUUCUUUAGUUGCUAGCAGGUAAUGCUGAAACUCUAAGGAGACUGCCCGGUGAUAACCGGAAGAAAGUGGGAAGACACCAAGUAUCAUGGGGCCUUUCUGUGUAGAGGCACACACGGGCUCCAAGA
This 1181-nucleotide ribosomal RNA is filed under the name uncultured Pseudoalteromonas sp. Its description in RNAcentral is "bacterial SSU rRNA". It matches the Rfam family "Bacterial small subunit ribosomal RNA", at positions 51 to 1232 of the family's 1533-position model. The record is from RNAcentral. Lineage: Bacteria; Pseudomonadati; Pseudomonadota; Gammaproteobacteria; Alteromonadales; Pseudoalteromonadaceae.